This 74-nucleotide transfer RNA is filed under the name Bacteroidota bacterium. Its description in RNAcentral is "Bacteroidetes bacterium (cold seep metagenome) tRNA-Pro". It matches the Rfam family "tRNA". Rfam says of the family: Transfer RNA (tRNA) molecules are approximately 80 nucleotides in length. Their secondary structure includes four short double-helical elements and three loops (D, anti-codon, and T loops). The record is from RNAcentral. Lineage: Bacteria; Pseudomonadati; Bacteroidota. RNAcentral also lists the same sequence under 1 other name.
CGGGAUGUGGCGCAGUCGGUUAGCGUGCUGGUCUGGGGGACCAGAGGUCGUGAGUUCGAGUCUCACCAUCCCGA